Molecule: ribosomal RNA, 574 nt
Filed under: uncultured bacterium
Lineage: Bacteria
Description: partial 16S ribosomal RNA
Rfam family: Bacterial small subunit ribosomal RNA
Source: RNAcentral
UGGGGAAUUUUGGACAAUGGGCGAAAGCCUGAUCCAGCAAUGCCGCGUGUGUGAAGAAGGCCUUCGGGUUGUAAAGCACUUUUGUCCGGAAAGAAAUCCUUGGCUCUAAUACAGUCGGGGGAUGACGGUACCGGAAGAAUAAGCACCGGCUAACUACGUGCCAGCAGCCGCGGUAAUACGUAGGGUGCAAGCGUUAAUCGGAAUUACUGGGCGUAAAGCGUGCGCAGGCGGUUUGCUAAGACCGAUGUGAAAUCCCCGGGCUCAACCUGGGAACUGCAUUGGUGACUGGCAGGCUAGAGUAUGGCAGAGGGGGGUAGAAUUCCACGUGUAGCAGUGAAAUGCGUAGAGAUGUGGAGGAAUACCGAUGGCGAAGGCAGCCCCCUGGGCCAAUACUGACGCUCAUGCACGAAAGCGUGGGGAGCAAACAGGAUUAGAUACCCUGGUAGUCCACGCCCUAAACGAUGUCAACUAGUUGUUGGGGAUUCAUUUCCUUAGUAACGUAGCUAAUGCGUGAAGUUGACCGCCUGGGGAGUACGGUCGCAAGAUUAAAACUCAAAUGAAUUGACGGGGUCAU